RNAcentral lists this ribosomal RNA (403 nucleotides) under Verrucomicrobiota bacterium. RNAcentral's name for it is "Verrucomicrobia bacterium partial 16S ribosomal RNA". It matches the Rfam family "Bacterial small subunit ribosomal RNA", at positions 355 to 776 of the family's 1533-position model. The record is from RNAcentral. Lineage: Bacteria; Pseudomonadati; Verrucomicrobiota.
UGGGGAAUAUUGCACAAUGGGGGAAACCCUGAUGCAGCGACGCCGCGUUAGCGAAGAAGGUUUUCGAAUCGUAAAGCUCUGUCCUAUGAGAAGAUAAUGACGGUAUCAUAGGAGGAAGCCCUGGCUAAAUACGUGCCAGCAGCCGCGGUAAUACGUAUGGGGCGAGCGUUGUCCGGAAUUAUUGGGCGUAAAGGGUACGUAGGCGGUUUUUUAAGUCAGGUGUCAAAGCGUGGAGCUUAACUCCAUUAAGCACUUGAAACUGAAAGACUUGAGUGAAGGAGAAGAAAGUGGAAUUCCUAGUGUAGCGGUGAAAUGCGUAGAUAUUAGGAGGAAUACCGGUGGCGAAGGCGACUUUCUGGACUUUUACUGACGCUCAGGUACGAAAGCGUGGGGAGCAAACAGG